Chelmon rostratus (copperband butterflyfish) is the source of this 385-nucleotide long non-coding RNA. RefSeq lists it as uncharacterized. NCBI's taxonomy places the organism in Eukaryota, Metazoa, Chordata, Actinopteri, Chaetodontiformes, Chaetodontidae. The record is from RefSeq and is a predicted model, not a curated record. The transcript has 5 exons.
GCCAAUCCAGUCUCAAGGAACGCAUUUCCCUCCUCACCUUUGCUUCGGCGUUCGGUCUCCAACCUGGCUCUACGUCCGACAGAGACACUUCCUUGCUCGAAUAAAGAUUCAAUUCAGGAUGUAAUGCCUGUGGUGUUUUGAGUGACUAGCCUAGUGGAUCCUGUCUGAGCAGCUAUCCAAGAAGGCAAGCAACAAAGAUGUCCAGUCUGCCCUGCAAGGAGAGGGAGUUGAUGUAGCCUCCACUGUGCCACUUCUCUUGGCCCACUUCAAGGAGGACAAGGAAGGACUUCUCCUUCAAGCUGAUGCAGGUGCAUCAGCUGCUGAUGUCGAAGAGGCACUUACCCUGCCUGCCAGUCCUCGGUUGAUACUGGUUGGUGAUACUCCG